AGACGGAGGGGGCUAGCGUUGUUCGGAAUUACUGGGCGUAAAGCGCGCGUAGGCGGUCCGUUUAGUUAGGCGUGAAAGGCCUGGGCUCAACCCGGGAACUGCGCUUAAAACUGGCGGGCUAGAGUCCGGGAGAGGGUGGCGGAAUUCCCAGUGUAGAGGUGAAAUUCGUAGAUAUUGGGAAGAACACCAGUGGCGAAGGCGGCCACCUGGCCCGGUACUGACGCUGAGGUGCGAAAGCGUGGGGAGCAAACAGGAUUAGAAACCCGAGUAGUCC
RNAcentral lists this ribosomal RNA (274 nucleotides) under uncultured bacterium. RNAcentral's name for it is "partial 16S ribosomal RNA". It matches the Rfam family "Bacterial small subunit ribosomal RNA", at positions 523 to 796 of the family's 1533-position model. The record is from RNAcentral.